This 970-nucleotide ribosomal RNA is filed under the name Escherichia coli. Its description in RNAcentral is "partial 23S ribosomal RNA". It matches the Rfam family "Bacterial large subunit ribosomal RNA", at positions 588 to 1561 of the family's 2925-position model. Lineage: Bacteria; Pseudomonadati; Pseudomonadota; Gammaproteobacteria; Enterobacterales; Enterobacteriaceae. The record is from RNAcentral.
GGCGUGUGACUGCGUACCUUUUGUAUAAUGGGUCAGCGACUUAUAUUCUGUAGCAAGGUUAACCGAAUAGGGGAGCCGAAGGGAAACCGAGUCUUAACUGGGCGUUAAGUUGCAGGGUAUAGACCCGAAACCCGGUGAUCUAGCCAUGGGCAGGUUGAAGGUUGGGUAACACUAACUGGAGGACCGAACCGACUAAUGUUGAAAAAUUAGCGGAUGACUUGUGGCUGGGGGUGAAAGGCCAAUCAAACCGGGAGAUAGCUGGUUCUCCCCGAAAGCUAUUUAGGUAGCGCCUCGUGAAUUCAUCUCCGGGGGUAGAGCACUGUUUCGGCAAGGGGGUCAUCCCGACUUACCAACCCGAUGCAAACUGCGAAUACCGGAGAAUGUUAUCACGGGAGACACACGGCGGGUGCUAACGUCCGUCGUGAAGAGGGAAACAACCCAGACCGCCAGCUAAGGUCCCAAAGUCAUGGUUAAGUGGGAAACGAUGUGGGAAGGCCCAGACAGCCAGGAUGUUGGCUUAGAAGCAGCCAUCAUUUAAAGAAAGCGUAAUAGCUCACUGGUCGAGUCGGCCUGCGCGGAAGAUGUAACGGGGCUAAACCAUGCACCGAAGCUGCGGCAGCGACGCUUAUGCGUUGUUGGGUAGGGGAGCGUUCUGUAAGCCUGCGAAGGUGUGCUGUGAGGCAUGCUGGAGGUAUCAGAAGUGCGAAUGCUGACAUAAGUAACGAUAAAGCGGGUGAAAAGCCCGCUCGCCGGAAGACCAAGGGUUCCUGUCCAACGUUAAUCGGGGCAGGGUGAGUCGACCCCUAAGGCGAGGCCGAAAGGCGUAGUCGAUGGGAAACAGGUUAAUAUUCCUGUACUUGGUGUUACUGCGAAGGGGGGACGGAGAAGGCUAUGUUGGCCGGGCGACGGUUGUCCCGGUUUAAGCGUGUAGGCUGGUUUUCCAGGCAAAUCCGGAAAAUCAAGGCUGAGG